RNAcentral lists this ribosomal RNA (186 nucleotides) under Paracoccus carotinifaciens. RNAcentral describes it as "partial 16S ribosomal RNA". The record is from RNAcentral. Lineage: Bacteria; Pseudomonadati; Pseudomonadota; Alphaproteobacteria; Rhodobacterales; Paracoccaceae.
CCUUGGCCCCUCCUCCUGGUACGUCAUUAUCUUCCAGCUGAAGAGCUUUACACCCUAAGGCCUUCAUCACUCACGCGGCAUGGCUAGAUCAGGGUUGCCCCCAUUGUCUAAGAUUCCCCACUGCUGCCUCCCGUAGGGGGGCGGGGGCGGCGGGCCGGGCGCGGGGCGCGGCGGGCGAAUAAUUGU